This is a non-coding RNA of Paramuricea clavata, 169 nucleotides long. The record is from the annotation of a GenBank genome assembly. NCBI's taxonomy places the organism in Eukaryota, Metazoa, Cnidaria, Anthozoa, Malacalcyonacea, Plexauridae.
UUCAAAACUGAACCGAAAAUGCAAGACUUGCUUUAAUUGUUUUCCUUCAAUUUCUUUCUGUAUUAUUUACUAUAAUGGAACUCAUGUUAUUUACACUGUGCUAGAUCAAACAUUAAACACUGACAGAAAACAAUUAAAGCAAGUCUUGCAUUUUCGGUUCAGUUUUGAA